This 1025-nucleotide long non-coding RNA is filed under the name Dromaius novaehollandiae (emu). Its description in RNAcentral is "lncRNA (ENSDNVG00000007135.1)". Lineage: Eukaryota; Metazoa; Chordata; Aves; Casuariiformes; Dromaiidae. The record is from RNAcentral.
CCGCAGCCCCCCCGGCUCGCGGCCCCGGCCCGGUUUUUGCAGCACCCUGUGCUGGGGGAGCCGGCCCCGCGCCGCCCCGGCAGGCAGCACCUGCAGGCAGCAGCAGGCAGGCGCGGGAGGGAGCAGCCUGCUCGCCCCGAGCGGCCUCUGCCCCGGCACCAGCCUCAACACGCCACCAUCAGCGUCACCGUGCCGGCACCGGCCUCUCCGUGCCGGCAUCAACCUCGCCGUGCGCCCCGCGGCAGAGACGGGCGUCUGCACCGGCAUCGGCCCCUUUGCGCUAGCACCAGCCUCUCCACGCACCCGGGGUGCAGACGGGCAUCUGCACCGGCACCAACCUCACCGUGCACCCCGGGUGCAGACGGGCAUCUGCACCGGCACCAACCUUGCCAAGCCGGCACUGGCCUCACCGUGCACCUCGUGGUGCGGAUGGGCAUUUGCACCAGCACCAACCAACCUGGCUGUGCCAGAAUCAGCCUCACCGUGCACCUCAUGGUGCAGAYGGGCAUCUGCACCGGCACCAGCCUCACCGUGCACUCCGGAGCGCAGAUGGGCAUCUGCACCAGCACCAACCUCGCCAUACCAGAACCAGCCUCACCGUGCACCCCGGGGUGCAGACAGGUAUCUGCAUCAGCACCAACCUCACCCUGCACCUUAGGGUGCAGAUGGGCACCUGCACCGGCACCAACCUCACCGUGCACCUUAGGGUGCAGACAGGCAUCUGCAUCAGCACCAACCUCACCGUGCACCUCGUGGUGCAGAUGGGCACCUGCACCAGCACCAACCUCGCCAUGCCAGAACCAGCCUCACCGUGCACCCCGGGGUGCAGACAGGCACCUGCACCAGCACCAACCUCGCCAUGCCAGCACCAGCCUCACCGUGCACCCCGGGGUGCAGAUGGGCACCUGCACCGGCACCAACCUCGCUGCACCAGCACCAACCUCGCCACACUGGCACCAGCCUCGCCGCGCGCCCGCGGUGCAGACGGGCACCUGCACCGGCACCGACCUCGCCGCGCCGGCACC